UCCACCCACCCACAGACCCCUCCUCACUUUACUAAUUUCUCAUUUUCCUCACUUCACUAAACCAAAAUAUAUGUUCACUUCACUAAUUUCUACAAAUAACACCCUUUCUCUCAAACAAUCAAUAGUGUCGCCGUCGCUGUCGUUGUCUUAUCGCCACAUCCGACCUCAAGUUUUCAUCAUCUUGUGUUGUUGUCGCCCUCGUCAUUUCCAACCUUAAAUAAGAAUUUCGAUUCUCAAAGAUAAAAUAGCUCCAAGAAAAAAAGAGAAACAAUUGCUACUAAGAGGGGUAUUAGGACCAUCAUCAAAGAUAUCGGAUUCGUUUACUCCUGAUGUUGUUAAAAGAAGAAAAAAAUAAAUUUCGAAGGCAUUAUCAAGUGUAAAAAAAAAAAAAGGCAAAGAGACAGAUUGAGUCUAUCAUCGAGAAGAAAUUGAUGUCCUAGUUGAUUCAAAGAUAAUUUAUUUUGAGUUUUUUCUAGUUGAUUUGUUAUGUUUUGUUGAAUUUUUUUAUUAUCUUUUGUUGAACUUUUAUAGUGGUGAUGAGACUCAUAUAUGAAUUGGUUAUCUUGGAU
This is a long non-coding RNA of Capsicum annuum, 569 nucleotides long. RefSeq lists it as uncharacterized. The transcript is spliced from 2 exons. The record is from RefSeq and is a predicted model, not a curated record. Lineage: Eukaryota; Viridiplantae; Streptophyta; Magnoliopsida; Solanales; Solanaceae.